Molecule: RNA transcript, 2878 nt
Organism: Mangifera indica (mango)
Lineage: Eukaryota; Viridiplantae; Streptophyta; Magnoliopsida; Sapindales; Anacardiaceae
Exons: 11
Source: RefSeq, a predicted model, not a curated record
AAUGAUCUAAAUUUCCGAGCAGAGGACAGGGAGAGGAAAUGCGGCGGCUCCCAAUUUCUAUCCGAUUCACAAUCCUUCUCUCUCUUACAAUUACAACCCCAGUUUCAUCUUCACUCUUCUUCAGCAAAUCACCCUCACCUCCCGUCCCAAAAGCCACACCCUCCGAUCUCCUCUCUCUCCUUGGUCCCACCUCCCGCUCCUCCUCUGUCAACCCUCUCGUUGCCCAAGAGCUCAAAUCCUGCUUCAAGUUCCUUGUUCCAUUUACCCCCCGCAAAGAAUUUGAACGCUUCUCCAUUAGACGCAGCUUGAAUCUUGAAAAGAAGCUUAAGAGUCGAAGGGACGAAGAGAAUGAGCUCGUAUGGUGGCCCCCGGAGGCCGUUCUUGAGCUGGCUCGGCUCGCCAUUGAUUCUGGUGGCGACCCUGAUGCCAUUUAUCAAGCUCUUGACCCUACCAUGUUGACUGUACCUGAUGUUGAAGAUUCAAAAGAAAAUCGAUGUGAGUUAACUAGAACACCAUACGGGAGACACUUCAUAUGUCAGGAAUUGAAUUCAUAUCUCAAGUAUUUAUUUGAACUUAUUGUUGCUCGGGCUCCCGAUGCUGGGUUAAGUGUGUCACUGAAUCGCUAUGAUUUAUUUCACGGUCACCUCUUUAUUGCCACAGAAACCAGAAGGCUUGGUAUAUUAUUUCAUGCUAGAGAAUACCCAGCAUAUGACAAAGAACGGUUUCCAUAUAAUAUGGGUUAUUGUCAGAAAGGGUCCAAUGUAACAUACGAUGAUUCAAUGAACUUGCGAAAUAUUCUUUGGCUUGCCCCAUUGCCAAGCAACUCCGCAAAAGGUUGGCUGGCCGCAGGGGUGUUGGUUGUGCUGGAUGCCCGCCCUGAUGGAAUUAUAUACAGAGAUCUCAUACCAGAGUAUGUAAAUUUUGCAAGGACCAUAUAUGAAGAUGAUCUGGGGAUUGUUGCAGUUGAUGUCAACUACUUGAACAUUGGAAAAACUGUGCCUGAUUACCAGAUUUUUAUUUGCUAAGACCCAUCUCAAACAAGGCAGCAAUUCUAACUUCAAAUUCGGUCUAGUUGGUGAUCUCCAAUAUGGUGAGAGAAACCAACUUUUCGCAUAAUAGAUGACGACUUUAGUUCCGUUGAUAUGGUGAAAAACUUAGCUUUACACUUGUAGGUGGCAACGUGAGUUUGCUGAACUGUUGAUGUGGGUUCUAUGGUCGAAAAAUUAUUCUGGUGGAACACUUGGCUUUGGGUUUAGGCUAGGCUUCUUCUUCAGGGACCAAUGGCUCCUCCUAAUGGUGAUACGAAAAAAGACUGAUCCAAAGGCACAAACCUUGAAGGCUGCAAAGGCCAUGAAGUCUGGACCAACCUUCAAGAAGAAGACCAAGAAGAUUGAACAUCUGUUACAUUUCACCGGCAGAAGAAAUUGAAGAAGGGGAGGUACCCAAAAUACCCUUGCAUCAGUGCUCCACCAAGGAACAAGCUUGAUCAUUAUUGAAUUCUUAAGUAUCCCCUCGCUACUAAGUCGUCCAUGAAGAAGACUGAAGAUAACAAUACUUAGGUUUUCAUUGCUGACAAGAAGAUAAAGGCUGCAGUCAAGAAGAUGUACGAUAUUGAGGCCAAGAGAGUGAAUACGGUGGAUGGUACAAACAAAGAAGGCUUAUGUUAGGUUGAAACCGGAUUAUGAUGCAUUGGCAUUAUUCAAGAUGGUAGCUCUUUUCAUCACAUUUUCAUAUUGUUUCAGGCCAAAAAGUAAGACAGUGUGCUGAUCCCCGGGCUGGGAAAUUAUCAGACCUCACUUCUAAGUCAUCCAUGAAGAAGAUUGAAGAUAACAAUAAUUGGGUUUUCAUUGCUGACAAGAGGCCAAGAAAGUGAAUACGUUUGAUGGUACAAACAGAGAAGGCAUAUGUUAGGUUGAAACUGGAUUAUGAGGCAUUGGCAUUAUUUAAGAUAGUAGCUCUUUUGAAGGAGUAAGACUGUUGAUCCCCGGGCUGGGAAAUUAGCAGGUUGAUCCUGUAAACUUGUUUUUACGCCUGACCCAAGUCCAAUUCUUCAGAAAAUAAUUUUCAAAUAUAAACGGAAAACAUGUUCCGUUGCCGGGAAUCGAACCCGGGUCUCCUGGGUGAAAGCCAGACAUCCUAAGCGCUGGACAACAAUGAAUUGCCCGAGAGGUUUAAAAUGGAAAAAUAAUAAUUAAAAUAUAAAAAUAAUUAAAUAAAAAAGAAACACGAGCACCCUUUGGUUUUAUUUCUAUCGUCACUAUAAAUUCCAGAUGCUAAACGCGACAGCAAGGUUUCUCCGCCUACAGGAGCUGCUGGGACCCACAGGAUGGAAAGUUAAUUGGUGUUUGGUGCUGAAGGGGAAGAGAGAGAAAGGUGCUGGCGGUGGCAAAUAAAAACUGUUGGAUUUGGUGUAGAAAAUGGAGCUAUCAAAGUCAGGGUACAAGAGGGCUUGCGGGAAAAACUGGUGAUUAUGUUGCUUCAUUCUAACUUAUCAGUGAUGAGGCACAACAAAUGCUUUGCACAGCAGCAUGGAACUUUUUGUGUCUAUUGUCUGCACAAAAUUCUGGUUUAGACACUACAGAAGGAAAAAGUUGUGCCACCACUGUUCACUUGGUAGAAAACCAGAGAAGAUAUGUUGUCACGGAUAAAAGAUUUGGCAUUCAGCCUCCAUUUUCUUAUUUAGUUUUUAAUCAUUUUGGAAAUGUCAAGUCUCAUAACCAAAAGAAAAUUGCAAGUCUUCCUCAUAAAUUCCUCUUGUAUGGAAAUUGUUCAUUUAUAUCUCAUUGCUAAAUUUGUGUGUAUAUAUUAAACAAUUUGUGAUAAGUGGCCUUACUCCUGGCCUUGUCAGUAAACAUAGAGGCUAUUCAUUUCUUGUUCA